CCCUUAGAUGUUCUGGGCCGCACGCGCGCUACACUGAUGCAUUCAACGAGUUUCUUCCUGGUCCGAGAGGAAUGGGUAACCUUUUGAAAGUGCAUCGUGAUAGGGAUAGACUAUUGCAAUUAUUGGUCUUCAACGAGGAAUUCCUAGUAGACGUAGUUCAUCAGACUGCAUCGAUUACGUCCCUGCCCUUUGUACACACCGCCCGUCGCUCCUACCGAUUGAAUGCUCAGGUGAGCCAUUCGGACUUUCAUCAUGCUGGUUUCCAGUUUUGAUGAAGGAAAGUCUUGCGAACCUUAUCAUUUAGAGGAAGGAGAAGUUGUAACA
Molecule: ribosomal RNA, 324 nt
Filed under: uncultured eukaryote
Lineage: Eukaryota
Description: partial 18S ribosomal RNA
Rfam family: Eukaryotic small subunit ribosomal RNA
Source: RNAcentral